AUUGAACGCUGGCGGCAGGCCUAACACAUGCAAGUCGAACGGUAGCACAGAGAGCUUGCUCUCGGGUGACGAGUGGCGGACGGGUGAGUAACGUCUGGGAAACUGCCCGAUGGAGGGGGAUAACUACUGGAAACGGUAGCUAAUACCGCAUAACGUCGCAAGACCAAAGUGGGGGACCUUCGGGCCUCACACCAUCGGAUGUGCCCAGAUGGGAUUAGCUAGUAGGUGGGGUAAUGGCUCACCUAGGCGACGAUCCCUAGCUGGUCUGAGAGGAUGAACAGCCACACGGGAACUGAGACACGGUCCAGACUCCUACGGGAGGCAGCAGUGGGGAAUAUUGCACAAUGGGCGCAAGCCUGAUGCAGCCAUGCCGCGUGUAUGAAGAAGGCCUUCGGGUUGUAAAGUACUUUCAGCGGGGAGGAAGGCGGUGAAGUUAAUAACUUCACCGAUUGACGUUACCCGCAGAAGAAGCACCGGCUAACUCCGUGCCAGCAGCCGCAGUAA
RNAcentral lists this ribosomal RNA (504 nucleotides) under uncultured bacterium. Its description in RNAcentral is "partial 16S ribosomal RNA". It matches the Rfam family "Bacterial small subunit ribosomal RNA", at positions 29 to 523 of the family's 1533-position model. The record is from RNAcentral.